GACUCUCUAGCUCAACGGCAGAGCAACGGACUUUUAAUCCGCAGGUUCCGGGUUCGAAUCCCGGGGGAGUCACCA
This 75-nucleotide transfer RNA is filed under the name Chloroflexota bacterium. RNAcentral's name for it is "tRNA-Lys". It matches the Rfam family "tRNA". From Rfam's summary of the family: Transfer RNA (tRNA) molecules are approximately 80 nucleotides in length. Their secondary structure includes four short double-helical elements and three loops (D, anti-codon, and T loops). RNAcentral also lists the same sequence under 3 other names. Lineage: Bacteria; Bacillati; Chloroflexota. The record is from RNAcentral.